UGGAUGAUGUGGAUUAAUUCGAUGACAACGCGAAAACCUUACCUACCCUUGACAUGUCCGGAAUCCCGAAGAGAUUUGGGAGUGCUCGCAAGAGAACCGGAACACAGGUGCUGCAUGGCUGUCGUCAGCUCGUGUCGUGAGAUGUUGGGUUAAGUCCCGCAACGAGCGCAACCCUUGUCAUUAGUUGCCAUCAUUUGGUUGGGCACUCUAAUGAGACUGCCGGUGACAAACCGGAGGAAGGUGGGGAUGACGUCAAGUCCUCAUGGCCCUUAUGGGUAGGGCUUCACACGUCAUACAAUGGUCGGUACAGAGGGUUGCCAACCCGCGAGGGGGAGCUAAUCCCACAAAGCCGAUCGUAGUCCGGAUCGCAGUCUGCAACUCGACUGCGUGAAGUCGGAAUCGCUAGUAAUCGUGGAUCAGCAUGUCACGGUGAAUACGUUCCCGGGUCUU
Molecule: ribosomal RNA, 450 nt
Filed under: uncultured Rhodocyclaceae bacterium
Lineage: Bacteria; Pseudomonadati; Pseudomonadota; Betaproteobacteria; Rhodocyclales; Rhodocyclaceae
Description: bacterial SSU rRNA
Rfam family: Bacterial small subunit ribosomal RNA
Source: RNAcentral